ACUGGAAGCUGCUGGGACCAAUUGGGACCAGUCAUGGGCAAAAGGAACAUGUUUUGUCCACCGUUGCAGUCUUCCUAGAGCAAAGUGGAGGUCUCUGUCCGCUUUAGGAGAGUGAACUAAACCGGAUCGUUCCCCUCCAUACAUG
Molecule: non-coding RNA, 145 nt
Organism: Strigops habroptila (Kakapo)
Lineage: Eukaryota; Metazoa; Chordata; Aves; Psittaciformes; Psittacidae
Product: small Cajal body-specific RNA 3
Source: Ensembl